This is a long non-coding RNA of Onychostoma macrolepis, 2121 nucleotides long. RefSeq lists it as uncharacterized. NCBI's taxonomy places the organism in Eukaryota, Metazoa, Chordata, Actinopteri, Cypriniformes, Cyprinidae. The record is from RefSeq and is a predicted model, not a curated record. The transcript is spliced from 3 exons.
AAGCUACCUGAUGAUACAGUACAUUUAAGAUUCCGAGCUAUUUAACUUGUGACAAUGAUGGCCAUAUUGAAGGGUUAGUUCACCUAAAAAUAAAGAUUCUGUCAUCAUUUACUCUCCUUGUAGUUCCAAACCUGCAUGACUUUCUUUAUGGAAGUCUGUUUCUGCCACAGAAAAAAACAAACAAACAAACAAACAAAAAAGGUAAUUGCAGGUAAUUUUCUCACAGUUCAGCAUGUUUCUGAAUUCAUCAAGUUUAUAGCUUACAAUUAUAACUUUCCCCCCCUCACAAUUGUGAGGAGAGAGAAAAAAUCACUAAGGUUGGAGAUAAAAAAAAAAAGAAGCUCAGUUACCUUUUUAUGUAUUUGUGUGUAUGUGCUGGCAACAACAACAACAAAACUGUAGACUCAGAAUUCUGAUUAAAAAAGUCAGAAUUGCAAGACGUAAAAAUCAGAAUUUAUCAGAGAUAAUAGACAAGAUAAUAGUUUAUAUCCUGGCUGUAAUUCUUUUUUCCCUUUUUUUUUUUUUUUGUCCGAAAUUGUGAGAUAAAAAGUCAGUUACCUUUUUAAUUUGUUAUUUCAUGGCAGAAAUGGCCUUGCUUAUUAUUAUUAUUAUUAUUAUUUUACGGAUUUGGAAUUACAUGGGUGAAUAAAUAAUGACAGAAUUUAUUUAGUUCCCUCUUUGCAUUUCAUUUCCGUGUUGCCACUGAAGCUUACAAGAUGCUUUUUGGGUCAAUCAAAUUUUACACAAAUUUCUGAAGUACAUGUAGCUCAAAGAAGGAAAACAGAAAAACAUGUCUGGGACUUUUGGGGUCCAACUGUAUGUACUGGUGCUUUUCAAAUAUUUGCCAACAGUGUGGGUGUGUAACUGAUAGCAGCAGCAGCAGCACCAUGAAUGGAAAGUGUUAAAUCCUGCUCAGAGCACUUUCUCCCGACCAUACUCAAUUUAAGCACGGUACUUGACCUCUGAAGCUCUGGAGGUGUCCUAUGACUACUCAUGUGGUCUGAUCCCUCCGUGUCAGAUCCCUCCGGAAGCAGAGAACAAGACUAAAUGCUCUGUGUAUUCCCAAUCAUGCCCCACAUUCUUUGGGAAUAAUGAAAGAAUCAUAAACUCAGAUCUGAAUCAAAAACAGCAAGGAUUUUGUUCUUGACUCUUUUAUUUCUUUCUUUUUUUGUGACAGUAGUCAUAUUGACGUGCCCUGAACAUAGUGUUGAAGUGUCUCUCCUUUUAGUUGGCAGAAAAACAGCUAAAAACAGAAAGAAAUAAACAACUUUCAAAUUGCAUCAAAAUGAUUUUCCUCCCCAGAAUAUGCUGUUAUUUUUUUGUUUGUUUUAAAAAAUAGAGCAUAAAGGAAUAUAUUACUUUAAAAAAGAUUUAUCUGUACUUGUGUGUUUUACUACAAAACAUUUCUUCUUCUUUUUUUGUAUUCCUGCAGUUGUCUUUUUAUCAAACGCUGUGGCAUGCACAUUGCACAUGCAGUUCACGAGGUAAAUGCUUCUCUACAUUUUUUUUUUUCUGACAAAAACUUGCUUAUUUUUAGUUUCUUCUUUUUACAGUGUGACUCCCACAUCGGCAUUGUAUUUUUAAUUGUCACUUUGUUUUGCCAAACAUGAACUGAGGUUGUUAGUAAUGAUUAAUUAUGACAGACAAUGAGAGAUGUCAAUGUCCUAUCCAGACUAACGCUGGUCUUUUCUCUCGCAGCCACACGCACAGCAAGAAGUUGAGAGAACAUCAUGCAUGCAAAUGAGGAUGACUGAAAGUCAUUCGCUUGGUGAAUUUGGUCUAACACAUCAUCAUGGACCUGAUCACAAACAUAUACACACACCGGUCACAGAGACACAUCAUUUCCUUGACGCUUCUUGCAACUCAAAACAGGAUUUCCAAGGGAUUUAUUUUCUGGGAGUUCAAACAAAGCUGGGCAGUGCAACAGAAGAUUCAAACUCCAAUGUUUCCAAUGAGAAGCAGAAGACGAAGCCGUAGAAGAAGAAAGAGGGUCUGAAGUGCAGGGUGGGCUUUCCUGUUUUAGUUCAGGUGAGUUCACCUCCGCCCAUCUCCAACUCCACCCACAACUUACCCGCACGGGUGAACGCCUCCCCCUCACUGGGAUAAUUAUUAACAGUAAAC